GAUGAAGAACGUAGCGAAAUGCGAUAACUAAUGUGAAUUGCAGAAUUCAGUGAAUCAUCGAGUCUUUGAACGCACAUUGCGCCCUCUGGUAUUCCGGAGGGCAUGCCUGUCCGAGCGUCAUUGCUGCCCUCCAGCCCGGCUGGUGUGUUGGGCCCCGUCCCCCUUCCCGGGGGGACGGGCCCGAAAGGCAGCGGCGGCACCGCGUCCGGUCCUCGAGCGUAUGGGGCUUUGUCACCCGCUCUUGUAGGCCCGGCCGGCGCCAGCCGACCCCCUCAAUCUAUUUUUCAGGUUGACCUCGGAUCAGGUAGGGAUACCCGCUGAACUUAAGAAUAUCAAUAAGCGGAGGA
RNAcentral lists this unclassified non-coding RNA (347 nucleotides) under soil metagenome. RNAcentral's name for it is "partial contains 5.8S ribosomal RNA, internal transcribed spacer 2, and large subunit ribosomal RNA". The stretch from base 1 to 120 matches the Rfam family "5.8S ribosomal RNA", at positions 35 to 154 of the family's 154-position model. The record is from RNAcentral.